Molecule: ribosomal RNA, 586 nt
Filed under: uncultured bacterium
Lineage: Bacteria
Description: bacterial SSU rRNA
Rfam family: Bacterial small subunit ribosomal RNA
Source: RNAcentral
CCUACGGGAGGCAGCAGUGGGGAAUUUUGGACAAUGGGCGCAAGCCUGAUCCAGCAAUGCCGCGUGAGUGAAGAAGGCCUUCGGGUUGUAAAGCUCUUUUGUCAGGGAAGAAACGGUCUGUUCUAAUACAGCGGGCUAAUGACGGUACCUGAAGAAUAAGCACCGGCUAACUACGUGCCAGCAGCCGCGGUAAUACGUAGGGUGCAAGCGUUAAUCGGAAUUACUGGGCGUAAAGCGUGCGCAGGCGGUUUUGUAAGUUUGUCGUGAAAUCCCCGGGCUCAACCUGGGAAUGGCGAUGAAGACUGCAAGGCUAGAGUUUGGCAGAGGGGGGUAGAAUUCCACGUGUAGCAGUGAAAUGCGUAGAUAUGUGGAGGAACACCGAUGGCGAAGGCAGCCCCCUGGGUCAAAACUGACGCUCAUGCACGAAAGCGUGGGGAGCAAACAGGAUUAGAUACCCUGGUAGUCCACGCCCUAAACGAUGUCUACUAGUUGUCGGGUCUUAAUUGACUUGGUAACGCAGCUAACGCGUGAAGUAGACCGCCUGGGGAGUACGGUCGCAAGAUUAAAACUUAAAGGAAUUGAACGG